CCUACGGGAGGCAGCAGUGGGGAAUAUUGGACAAUGGGCGCAAGCCUGAUCCAGCCAUGCCGCGUGAGUGAUGAAGGCCUUAGGGUUGUAAAGCUCUAUCGCCAGGGACGAUAAUGACGGUCCCUGGAUAAGAAGCCCCGGCUAACUUCGUGCCAGCAGCCGCGGUAAU
This 169-nucleotide ribosomal RNA is filed under the name uncultured Methylocystaceae bacterium. Its description in RNAcentral is "partial 16S ribosomal RNA". It matches the Rfam family "Bacterial small subunit ribosomal RNA", at positions 338 to 524 of the family's 1533-position model. The record is from RNAcentral. Lineage: Bacteria; Pseudomonadati; Pseudomonadota; Alphaproteobacteria; Hyphomicrobiales; Methylocystaceae.